RNAcentral lists this long non-coding RNA (253 nucleotides) under Elaeis guineensis (African oil palm). RNAcentral's name for it is "long non-coding RNA (EGUI_LNC056257)". Lineage: Eukaryota; Viridiplantae; Streptophyta; Magnoliopsida; Arecales; Arecaceae. The record is from RNAcentral.
AAGGUCGAGAUCAUCAAAAAUCUGAUCUUUGGAUCGAUAGAGCCCCGAAGAGCACAGAGAUAAAAUCUCUUGAUAGAGCCCCGAAGGGCAAAGAGAUAAAAUCUCUUGAUCAAAGAUCAAUCUUCGAAUCGAUAGAGCCUCGAAGGGCAUAGAGAUAAGAUCUCCUCAUCAAAGUUCAGAGCUUCGAAGGGCACAGAGAUAAGAUCUCCUCAUCAAAGUUCAAUCUCUGGAUUGGUAGAGCCUCGAAGGGCAC